CCUACGGGCGGCAGCAGUAGGGAAUCUUCCACAAUGGGCGAAAGCCUGAUGGAGCAACGCCGCGUGGGUGAAGAAGGUCUUCGGAUCGUAAAACCCUGUUGUCAGAGAAGAAAGUUCGCUAGACUAACCGUUCACGUUUCGACGGUAUCUACCCAGAAAGCCACGGCUAACUACGUGCCAGCAGCCGCGGUAAUACGUAGGUGGCAAGCGUUAUCCGGAUUUAUUGGGCGUAAAGGGAACGCAGGCGGUCUUUUAAGUCUGAGGUGAAAUCCUUGGGCUUAACGGGGGUAGUGCAUUGGAAACUGGGAGACUUGAGUGUAGAAGAGGAGAGUGGAACUCCAGGUGUAGCGGUGAAAUGCGUAGAUAUAUGGAAGAACACCAGUGGCGAAGGCGGCUCUCUGGUCUGUAACUGACGCUGAGGUUCGAAAGCGUGGGUAGCAAACAGGAUUAGAUACCCUAGUAGUC
Molecule: ribosomal RNA, 465 nt
Filed under: uncultured bacterium
Lineage: Bacteria
Description: partial 16S ribosomal RNA
Rfam family: Bacterial small subunit ribosomal RNA
Source: RNAcentral